ACCCCCGGCCGUGGCUGACAGCCCCGCGGGCGGCCACGAGAAAGGCCCCCCAGGUUAAGCGGUGAGCAAGGUCAGCCGCUCGUGUGGGACGAAAGGGACCGCAAGCCCUGCAGCCGACCGGGACGACGACGACGACGACGACGAUAAUAACGCAUUAAGCCUCGCAUGCCGCCUGUCGGCCCUCGGAGGCAGACCGGACUAGGAAACCGACGUCGGGCAAGCUAGUGCUGCUUCGUGAUACGGUCACAACAGCGGAAUCUCGCAAGUCCGAAUGCGCUCCGCGAGAGCCCCGAGAACCCCGCAGUCCAGCCCUGAGCUACGGAUCUCCGCCGUGGCAGGAGCCCGAGGACCGGACGGCCCGGAACGCCCCUCCCAACUCGCGGCUCUGUGUCAAGUCCACAAAGUCCAAACCCCAAUUUAGAAGAAUCCUCGUGAAACCAGGCCUGGCUCAGAUAAAUGCUCCUUUAUGGGAUCCAGAGUGGCUUUGCUGGCAGAUGAUGGCAUGCAUCACAUUGGAGGAAGAACAUGUGAAGACACCUCUAAUCUUGAAGGUGUGUUCUGGUGUCUCCUGUAUGGAAAAGCACAGGACAGCUGAUGGCAGCCAGCAGCGAGUGGAAGUGGCUGCUUUUCACUGCCAGCUUCUUCCUAUGGAAAAACCCCUCUUAUUCAAGAUUUUUCAGACUUUGAAUUAGGAAGCUUAUGAAGAUAAAUGCGUGCUUCCAUGCAUAAGAUCUUACAUGGGUCAAGACGUGACAAAUUUAUCAAUAGCAUGGAAGGAACUGUCAGCCCUACGGGAUAGACCAGAUCAGGAACUGACUCCACUAGGACUAUCUCCAUUCUCAGGACUUAAGAAAUGCUCCUGUCCUUUUGGUUUGUGUAAUGGGUUCUAAAUAUUUGCUUCAAGGCCAUUUCCCUGGGUCUCUACAGCAGUGUUUCUCAACUUUGGCAACUUUAAGAUGUGUGGACUUCAACUCCCAGAAUUCCCCAGCCAGCCAAGGUUGAGAAGCACUACUCUACAGGAACAGAGAAGGGAAUUCCAUCCCUCUCUCCUCACCCUGGGAAGACGGUAGGGCCAACAGCUCCCUUACUGCUGCUUCAAAGAGCCAGCAGGCAGCCAGCUCUUUGGACAGGUCUGUCAGUCACCGUUAGCCUUGAAAGCUAAUGGAAACUCCACAAACGGGGGCAGUAUAGCAUUAUAGAGUGGAGGCAGAAAAGAGGGGAGGACAGGUGCCUUUCUGCUUCAUCAGAGAAUUUAUUAAGAAGGCUGUACCUCCCCAACCUGCUGUUGAAUCUUAGGCUAACUGCAGAUGGUGAGAGCUGCAGUAAAAUCGCUCUCUGCAAUCAUAGACAAAAUGCAGGCUUAUAAAUUUAUUCUAGAUUGAAAUGCAUGUGGCAUUUACAUUUCUGAAAAUGCAGGGCACUUAGAAUAAAUUCCCUGCAUUUUCAGAAGCUUCUUACAUAUAUCUAAGAAAUUUAGCUGUUUGUUAGAAGAGCGCAUGAAACCACCAGCCAGUUAUUUCUCAAGAUACCACAACAUUGUUUCUCCUAACCCUCAUCAGAACUUCACCACUAUUGGGGGAAAACACUUACAAUUCAGGUAAGCAAAGCUGGGAGGUAAGAUCUGGUACCUUACUGCAAGAUCACCUCUUUUCCAUUAAUUGUCUUUGCAACUAAAAUGCUGCCUUUUCCCCAGAAUCUCAAGCAGGCAGGGGAGAAGAUCCCUGAAGUCGAGGAGCCUUUCUGUACGCUAUCGUAUCCUCAGCCUUUUGUAAUGUCACUUAGAACAUUAUUGGGAGAUGAAAAAAAUUCAUCUCUAGCAGCUUACAUAAAUAAUCACUGAUGCAGUUCCAAGAGGAUGGUAUUAUUCUACUAAAUUGGCUGAUGCCGCUCAGCAAGCUGGCAGCUGCGCUGUGCUUCUGCAUCUUCAAGGGCAGCCUUAGGUAGAGCAAACUGCAGCGGUUACAGGAGAAGGGCGUGAGUUGCUCUCUUCAGCAUCUCCUGGACCCAGGAAGGUUCACAACUGGUGGACCCGCCUAAGCUGGCCAAAGAUUUCCUGGGCAUGGCCUCCAUCUGCACUCCAGCAGGAGCCACCCACUCGGGAAAAAUCCGAUGGCACACCAGACGCUUCGGGGGCAAAACACCUCCAGCUCCAGCAACAGCUGGAAACUCCAGGGAAUCAGAAGCUUUCUACAGAAGCAGUGACUCCAUCUUACUGGGACUGGGUCUCAGAUGGUUCUUCCCUACCCAGGCCACGAGUCAGGGCAUCUCCCCCAUCUCCUGCCUGGCUAGGAGUGGAGGCGUAAAGUUGGCCUCAGCAGCAAGCUGAGGCUUCAUCCCAGUCCAAGGGAAGGCCUCUCCCAGUGGCUUCACUGACAUAGUAAGCAAGAGGGAGGGAGAUGGCCAAGCCCUGGAACACCACACACUCUUAUUACUAUGUUAUCCGUUUUACCUAACCCAGACACUUAGAAUCUAGCGAAUCAGGCCUCAUACCAAUUUUUGUACUAUGCAACUAAAGUACUGGCUGCAUAACUGGGGGUCAGGGUUCCAGAAGACACCUGUUUAGCCUCCACGUUUAAAAAUGGAAAAAGGCAAAUCUGCAGGGGAGGCUUUAAUUUGGAUUCCUGCACUGAGCAGGGCAUUGAGCCAGAUGGCCUCAAGAGCCACUUUCAAUUCAUUCCUUUUGUACUUACGGAGGGAAGAGUUUAAUAGCAGCACCUGAUCAAGUGAACUGAGUGUCUUUCCAUGGUAACACCCUGGCACACUGGGCCAUUUGCUGGGGGCAAGCCUGGAGUGUGAGGGGUGGUUCCACCUGCCCACACUCUGGGCAGGGGGUUGGACUAGAUGGUCUUGCAAGUCUUUCCCACCCUUUAGAUUCUAGGAUUCAAAGCAAGAAACAGCUGAAGUAACUUCUGAAGGCAUUCAGAUUUAGUGGACUGCCAAUAAAACCUUUUUUGGUAUAUAAAAAAAUAUUUAAAAUACUUUUUAUCACUCUUAGAAGCCAGUCAAAAUGGCACAAGCAAACAGAGAAAAACGAGGCACCGGUGCUGCUGAAAACAGCCAUCAAUAAGAUUCAGCUGCAGCUUAGGACUGCACAGCACGACACCAGGGGUACCAGCACUUCUCUAAAAUUAGGCAUAAGCAGAGGCCAAAAGUCCACUCCACUUUCUAAGAUUUAGAGUAUUAAAAGCAGACUGGUUAUUUCUGCUAACACCUUUUAAAAAUUCACAGCUUCAAAGCUUAAGAAGAAUGGCAAAAAAGCCUACUUCUCUUUCAAACAAAAUAGCUUCAACAGAGAGGCCAGAUCAAAUUUUCAGGAGGGAGAGCAAAGAAAGAGACACAUCGCUAACCAAGCUCUAGGAAUCAAGGUAGACAUUCAGAUGGAUGAUUAUGGGCCAUCAAAAUGGUGUCAACUUUUAGCAACCGCAUAGAUUUUCUCCAUGAUGUUCUGCCUCCA
Molecule: non-coding RNA, 3454 nt
Organism: Python bivittatus (Burmese python)
Lineage: Eukaryota; Metazoa; Chordata; Lepidosauria; Squamata; Pythonidae
Source: RefSeq, a predicted model, not a curated record